AAACCAACAGGGAUUGCCCCAGUAACGGCGAGUGAAGCGGCAACAGCUCAAAUUUGAAAUCUGGCGCCUUCAGCGUCCGAGUUGUACUUUGCAGAGGGUGGUCCAGACAACGGGCCGGUCCAAGUUCCUUGGAACAGGAUACCGCAGAGGGUGAGAGUCCCGUAUCCGACCGGUGCCAGCGUCGCUGUGAUCGCCCCUCGACGAGUCGAGUUGUUUGGGAAUGCAGCUCUAAGUGGGUGGUAAAUUCCAUCUAAGGCUAAAUACCGGCCAGAGACCGAUAGCGAACAAGUAGAGUGAUCGAAAGAUGAAAAGCACUUUGAAAAGAGAGUCAAACAGUACGUGAAAUUGUUGAAAGGGAAGCGUAUGCGACCAGACUUGACCGCGGUGGCACUCCGCCCGCCUUCUGGCGGGUGUACUCCGCCGCGGCCAGGCCAGCAUCGGCCCUGGCGGCGGGACAAAGGCGGCGGGAACGUGGCCCCCCUCGGGGGGUGUUAUAGCCCGCCGUGUAAUGCCGCCAGCCGGGGCCGAGGACCGCGCCUUCGGGCAAGGAUGCUGGCGUAAUGGCCCCAUACGGC
RNAcentral lists this ribosomal RNA (575 nucleotides) under Echinocatena arthrinioides. RNAcentral describes it as "partial 28S ribosomal RNA". It matches the Rfam family "Eukaryotic large subunit ribosomal RNA", at positions 62 to 648 of the family's 3401-position model. The record is from RNAcentral. Lineage: Eukaryota; Fungi; Ascomycota; Dothideomycetes; Venturiales; Sympoventuriaceae.